Molecule: ribosomal RNA, 351 nt
Filed under: Triticum aestivum (bread wheat)
Lineage: Eukaryota; Viridiplantae; Streptophyta; Magnoliopsida; Poales; Poaceae
Description: partial small subunit ribosomal RNA
Source: RNAcentral
AUGAAAAAAUACUGGUGGGGUAGCUCUAUUGACAAGAGAUCACUUCACUGGCUAUCGUGGAAGAAAUUAAUCGAGCCGAAGAUCAAAGGGGGGAUGGGUUUUAAAGACCCUAAACUUUUUAAUCUUGCCAUGCGAGGUAAGCAAGGCUGGCGGUUGUUCACACAUCCCAACAGUUUAUGUGCGCGUGUACUGAAGGGAAAAUAUUACCCACACACUAAUUUUCUGCAUGCAACGGUUCCCACUUGAGCAUCCUCAACCUGGAGAGUGAUCGUGGCAGGCAGAAAAGCUCUGGACACUGGACUAAUUAACAGGAUUGGAGAUGGCUCCUCUAUAUCUAUAUGGACCGACUAG